CCUGCAAGUUUGCAACAAACAAUUGCCGCAAGCUUGCGGCAAAUCUAAUUUGCAUAAUUAUGUUUGCCGUAAGCUUGCCGCAAACUUCAUUUGCAUGGUAAAAGGGUUGCGGCAAGCUUGCGUCAAUGUUUGCUGCAAACUUGCAGC
RNAcentral lists this small RNA (147 nucleotides) under Mytilus galloprovincialis (Mediterranean mussel). The record is from RNAcentral. Lineage: Eukaryota; Metazoa; Mollusca; Bivalvia; Mytilida; Mytilidae.